This 363-nucleotide unclassified non-coding RNA is filed under the name uncultured bacterium. RNAcentral's name for it is "contains 16S-23S intergenic spacer region". The record is from RNAcentral.
UCCCCGUUACCGGGGCAGUCUACCUAGAAAAAUCCAACUAAGUAUAAGGGUUGCGCUCGUUGAUGGACUUAACCAAACAUCUCACGACACGAGCUGACGACGGCCAUGCAUCACCUGUCACUUGGCUCAAUAAAGCACUCACUGCUUUCGCAGUAAUUCCAAGGAUGUCAAACCCUGGUAAGGUUCUUCGCUUACCAUCGAAUUAAAGAACAUCAUCCGCUGCUUGUGCGGGUCCCCGUCAAUUCCUUUAUGUUUUAAGCUUGCGCUCGUACUCCACAGGCGGGGUGCUUAACGCGUUAGCUUCGCUACAGAAGGGGUCGAUACCUCCUACAGCUAGCACCCAUCGUUUACGGCGUGGACUAC